AAAAAAAAAAAAAAAAGACUGAAUUGCCCCUCACCUUCAGGCCCCUCCCUUCUCCUUCUGUGCAACCCAUGACACUCCUCCCCCUCUCCAUUUCCUAUCCCUCUGCUCCCUCUCCAAAUUCUAUACCUCUGUCCCCUCUCCAAAUCUUCCUUCAAAGAACCAUGCUGAGUCAAGAAAACCCAACGCCAUCCAGCUUUCCUCGUUGAUUACAUGAAGUGUGCAUCAUUUAUUUCUUAAAAUCGUCAUUUCACUAUGCUUAAGCUGUUUGUUUUGUGUUACCCCAACAUUGCAAUCAGACCCAUCUGCUUUGUUGUCACCUCUAAAGCCCAUCUAUCAUUCAUCAAUUUAGAAGGCCAAGGGAUUCCCACACUGCUAUGAUGAGCGAAUUUGCCCUUUGAAAAGCCUCUCACACAUAUCCAUUUGCGAUCGACAUUGAGUUAUUCUCACCAGCGUCGGCAACCACCAGUUACAAUAGUUGCUUAUUAUUUCUCAUUUUCUUUUUUUUGGGUUUUGUUGGUUAUAUGGAUUUUGCUGUACAGUUAUUGAUUUGUUUUUGUGCUAGGGAAUUAAGAAUUUUAAGUGUUGAGGUUCUCUUGGUGUUCUAGUUUUUUAUUUUUCAGUGUUUAUGAUUGUCUUAAUGUUAUGGUUUUUGAGUUACCUUGUUCUUAGUCAU
RNAcentral lists this unclassified non-coding RNA (673 nucleotides) under Hevea brasiliensis (rubber tree). The record is from RNAcentral. Lineage: Eukaryota; Viridiplantae; Streptophyta; Magnoliopsida; Malpighiales; Euphorbiaceae.